UACGGGGGGUGCGAGCGUUGUCCGGAAUCACUGGGCGUAAAGGGCGCGUAGGUGGUCUGAUAAGGGUGUGGUGAAAGUCCGGGGCUCAACCCCGGAUCUGCCGUGCCGACUGUCAGACUCGAGGACUGUAGAGGCAGGCGGAAUUCCGGGUGUAGCGGUGGAAUGCGUAGAGAUCCGGAGGAAGACCAGAGGCGAAGGCGGCCGGCUGGGCUGUACCUGACGCUGAGGCGCGAAAGCGUGGGGAGCGAACCGG
RNAcentral lists this ribosomal RNA (253 nucleotides) under uncultured bacterium. Its description in RNAcentral is "partial 16S ribosomal RNA". It matches the Rfam family "Bacterial small subunit ribosomal RNA", at positions 524 to 776 of the family's 1533-position model. The record is from RNAcentral.